RNAcentral lists this ribosomal RNA (498 nucleotides) under uncultured Pseudomonas sp. RNAcentral describes it as "bacterial SSU rRNA". It matches the Rfam family "Bacterial small subunit ribosomal RNA", at positions 903 to 1382 of the family's 1533-position model. Lineage: Bacteria; Pseudomonadati; Pseudomonadota; Gammaproteobacteria; Pseudomonadales; Pseudomonadaceae. The record is from RNAcentral.
CCAGCCCGCUCAGAAACUACAAAUGAAUUGACGGGGGCCCGCACAAGCGGUGGAGCAUGUGGUUUAAUUCGAUGAUACGCGAGGAACCUUACCUGGGCUCAAAUGUAUGUUGACGUAUUCUGAAAGGGAUACUUCUUCGGACAAUAUACAAGGUGCUGCAUGGUUGUCGUCAGCUCGUGCCGUGAGGUGUCGGGUUAAGUCCCAUAACGAGCGCAACCCCUAUCAUUAGUUGCCAUCAGGUCAAGCUGGGGACUCUAAUGAAACUGCCUACGCAAGUAGUGAGGAAGGUGGGGAUGACGUCAAAUCAGCACGGCCCUUACGUCCAGGGCGACACACGUGCUACAAUGGCCGGCACAACGGGAAGCGAGUUCGCGAGGACGAGCGGAUCCCUCAAAGCCGGUCGCAGUUCGGAUUGAAGUCUGCAACUCGACUUCAUGAAGCUGGAGUCGCUAGUAAUCGUGGAUCAGCCAAGCCGCGGUGAAUACGUUCCCGGGCCUU